CGCGGCCUAUCAGCUUGUUGGUGAGGUAACGGCUCACCAAGGCGACGACGGGUAGCCGGCCUGAGAGGGCGACCGGCCACACUGGGACUGAGACACGGCCCAGACUCCUACGGGAGGCAGCAGUGGGGAAUAUUGCGCAAUGGGCGAAAGCCUGACGCAGCAACGCCGCGUGGGGGAUGAAGGCCUUCGGGUUGUAAACCCCUUUCAGCAGGGACGAAGCGAAAGUGACGGUACCUGCAGAAGAAGCGCCGGCUAACUACGUGCCAGCAGCCGCGGUAAUACGUAGGGCGCAAGCGUUGUCCGGAAUUAUUGGGCGUAAAGAGCUCGUAGGUGGUCUGUUACGUCUGCUGUGAAAACCUAGGGCUUAACCCUGGGCCUGCAGUGGAUACGGGCAGACUAGAGGUAGGUAGGGGAGAAUGGAAUUCCCGGUGUAGCGGUGAAAUGCGCAGAUAUCGGGAGGAACACCGGUGGCGAAGGCGGUUCUCUGGGCCUUACCUGACACUGAGGAGCGAAAGCGUGGGGAGCGAACAGGAUUAGAUACCCUGGUAGUCCACGCCGUAAACGUUGGGCGCUAGGUGUGGGAUCCUUCCACGGAUUCCGUGCCGCAGCUAACGCAUUAAGCGCCCCGCCUGGGGAGUACGG
Molecule: ribosomal RNA, 642 nt
Filed under: uncultured Actinomycetes bacterium
Lineage: Bacteria; Bacillati; Actinomycetota; Actinomycetes
Description: bacterial SSU rRNA
Rfam family: Bacterial small subunit ribosomal RNA
Source: RNAcentral